This 253-nucleotide ribosomal RNA is filed under the name uncultured bacterium. RNAcentral describes it as "partial 16S ribosomal RNA". It matches the Rfam family "Bacterial small subunit ribosomal RNA", at positions 524 to 776 of the family's 1533-position model. The record is from RNAcentral.
UACGGAGGGGGCUAGCGUUGUUCGGAAUUACUGGGCGUAAAGCGCACGUAGGCGGACUGUUAAGUCGGGGGUGAAAUCCUGGGGCUCAACCUCAGAAUUGCCUCCGAUACUGGCAGUCUCGAGUGCGGGAGAGGUGAGUGGAAUUCCCAGUGUAGAGGUGAAAUUCGUAGAUAUCUGGAGGAACACCGGUGGCGAAGGCGGCAUCCUGGACCGGCAUUGACGCUGAGGCGCGAAAGCUAGGGGAGCAAACAGG